AAUUGUCAGAGUAAAAUGGGAAAUUUGUUCUUAUUUUAUUUGUUUUCCUAUUUUCAAGGUCAUCUAGACAUUAGAGGGCGUUAGUGAUAGAAAAUAUUUCGCUUGUCUGAAUAUAUGCAAAUUAGGGUGUGGUGCCGAGAAUGCUUAAAGGUGUGUACGUGUGGACUUAAAUCAGUGCAGUUGACUAGAAGACGAGGUUGGAGCUGGACGUGUGAGAGGUCUUGAACAUGUACCCUUAUGUGUGUUGUGGAAGUUGCUACCAGAGCCUUGAUUUUGUAUUCGGCGCAAGCAGUCCUUUUCCUCAGGCGACACCGGUACGAGAGGUAUCCUCCAUGUAGCCCAGAACCUCGAUUUUCCUGCCAUUGGCACAAUUUUGUCAACAUAACUCCGUAAGAGCGGACAAGAACGUUCUUCACUACUAACUAGUAGCACGCUGAGCGUCAUCGAAAUAGCAUCCAAGCAUCGAAUCGUCGAAUUAGCAUCCAAGCAUCGAAUCGUCGAAUUAGCAUCCGAGAAUCGCCGAGUCAGUAUAUCCGGGAUCUUGAAGCACGUGACCGAUUGCCGUAACAAGCGAUUACGGGACAGCAACCUUCACAAGUCUUCAAGCAUCGAAUCUUCGUAGGAACCAUGUCGGUAUUUGAUCUUUUGAUAUAGCAAAUACCAAGCAAAAGGCUUUCGCCUUAUUUCGGACAAUUGUCUUAAUUUCGGACACUUUAAAAACUGGGAAGUUAACUUGUACGAAUUACACUUUUGGGUAUUGGAGUAAUUAAAUGACCGUACGUAUAUGUAAUAUUUCUGUAACAGCAGAUGUCUAUGAAUUUAGAUGUUGGUGUAGUUGUCAAAUAAAAGUCUGUAAAACUCA
RNAcentral lists this long non-coding RNA (862 nucleotides) under Strongylocentrotus purpuratus (purple sea urchin). RNAcentral describes it as "uncharacterized LOC115922277". Lineage: Eukaryota; Metazoa; Echinodermata; Echinoidea; Camarodonta; Strongylocentrotidae. The record is from RNAcentral.